RNAcentral lists this long non-coding RNA (234 nucleotides) under Carica papaya (papaya). Its description in RNAcentral is "long non-coding RNA (CPAP_LNC007739)". Lineage: Eukaryota; Viridiplantae; Streptophyta; Magnoliopsida; Brassicales; Caricaceae. The record is from RNAcentral.
ACAUGAAAUACAUCAUGAACGUUAGCCAACUCUGGGGCAAUGCUAAUUGGUAAGCAGCAGAUCCAAUUCUCUCCAAUAUUUCAAAUGGUCUAAUGAAGCAAGUGCUCAAUUUGUCUUUCUUUCCAAAUCUCAUAAGACCCUUCAUUGGUGACACUUUUAAGAAUACAUGAUCCCCUAUUUCAAAUUUCAAACUCCUUCUAUGAUUAUCUGCAUAACUUUUCUGUCUACUUUGGG